UUUAACGGAGAGUUUGAUCCUGGCUCAGGACGAACGCUGGCGGCGUGCUUAACACAUGCAAGUCGAACGAUGAGGGCCCGGGCUUGCCCGGGUCUGAUUAGUGGCGAACGGGUGAGUAACACGUGAGUAACCUGCCCCCCGACUUCGGGAUAACCGCGAGAAAUCGUGGCUAAUACCGGAUAUGACGCCCCUGCCGCAUGGUGGGGUGUGGAAAGACUGUGUCGGUCGGGGGAUGGGCUCGCGGCCUAUCAGCUUGUUGGUGGGGUGAUGGCCUACCAAGGCCGACGGGUAGCCGGCCUGAGAGGGUGACCGGCCACACUGGGACUGAGACACGGCCCAGACUCCUACGGGAGGCAGCAGUGGGGGAAUAUUGCACAAUGGGCGCAAGCCUGAUGCAGCGACGCCGCGUGAGGGAUGACGGCCUUCGGGUUGUAAACCUCUUUCAGUAGGGAAGAAGCCUCUCGGGGUGACGGUACCUGCAGAAGAAGCGCCGGCUAACUACGUGCCAGCAGCCGCGGUAAUACGUAGGGCGCAAGCGUGUCCGGAAUUAUUGGGCGUAAAGAGCUCGUAGGCGGUCUGUCGCGUCUGCUGUGAAAACG
This 599-nucleotide ribosomal RNA is filed under the name Georgenia sp. SUBG003. Its description in RNAcentral is "bacterial SSU rRNA". It matches the Rfam family "Bacterial small subunit ribosomal RNA", at positions 1 to 602 of the family's 1533-position model. Lineage: Bacteria; Bacillati; Actinomycetota; Actinomycetes; Allobogoriellales; Allobogoriellaceae. The record is from RNAcentral.